GAUGAACGCUGGCGGCGUGCUUAACACAUGCAAGUCGAACGGAAAGGCCCAAGCUUGCUUGGGUACUCGAGUGGCGAACGGGUGAGUAACACGUGGGUGAUCUGCCCUGCACUUCGGGAUAAGCCUGGGAAACUGGGUCUAAUACCGGAUAGGACGAUGGUUUGGAUGCCAUUGUGGAAAGUUUUUUCGGUGUGGGAUGAGCUCGCGGCCUAUCAGCUUGUUGGUGGGGUAAUGGCCUACCAAGGCGUCGACGGGUAGCCGGCCUGAGAGGGUGUACGGCCACAGUGGGACUGAGAUACGGCCCAGACUACUACGGGAGGCAGCAGUGGGGAAUAUUGCACAAUGGGCGCAAGCCUGAUGCAGCGACGCCGCGUGGGGGAUGACGGCCUUCGGGUUGUAAACUCCUUUCGCUAGGGACGAAGCGUUUUUGUGACGGUACCUGGAGAAGAAGCACCGGCUAACUACGUG
RNAcentral lists this ribosomal RNA (468 nucleotides) under uncultured bacterium. RNAcentral's name for it is "partial 16S ribosomal RNA". It matches the Rfam family "Bacterial small subunit ribosomal RNA", at positions 28 to 507 of the family's 1533-position model. The record is from RNAcentral.